AGAGUUUGAUCAUGGCUCAGGACGAGCGCUGGCGGCGUGCCUAAUACAUGCAAGUGGAACGCUGAGGACUGGUGCUUGCACCGGUUCAAGGAGUUGCGAACGGGUGAGUAACGCGUAGGUAACCUACCUCAUAGCGGGGGAUAACUAUUGGAAACGAUAGCUAAUACCGCAUGACAAUGGAGGACCCAUGUCUUUCAUUUAAAAGGUGCAACUGCAUCACUAUGAGAUGGACCUGCGUUGUAUUAGCUAGUUGGUGAGGUAACGGCUCACCAAGGCGACGAUACAUAGCCGACCUGAGAGGGUGAACGGCCACACUGGGACUGAGACACGGCCCAGACUCCUACGGGAGGCAGCAGUAGGGAAUCUUCGGCAAUGGACGGAAGUCUGACCGAGCAACGCCGCGUGAGUGAAGAAGGUUUUCGGAUCGUAAAGCUCUGUUGUUAGAGAAGAAUGAUGGUGGGAGUGGAAAAUCCACCAUGUGACGGUAACUAACCAGAAAGGGACGGCUAACUACGUGCCAGCAGCCGCGGUAAUACGUAGGUCCCGAGCGUUGUCCGGGUUUAUUGGGCGUAAAGCGAGCGCAGGCGGUUCUUUAAGGCUGAAGUUAAAGGCAGUGGCUCAACCACUGUACGCUUUGGAAACUGGAGAACUUGAGUGCAGAAGGGGAGAGUGGAAUUCCAUGUGUAGCGGUGAAAUGCGUAGAUAUAUGGAGGAACACCGGUGGCGAAAGCGGCUCUC
RNAcentral lists this ribosomal RNA (738 nucleotides) under uncultured Streptococcus sp. Its description in RNAcentral is "bacterial SSU rRNA". It matches the Rfam family "Bacterial small subunit ribosomal RNA", at positions 8 to 729 of the family's 1533-position model. Lineage: Bacteria; Bacillati; Bacillota; Bacilli; Lactobacillales; Streptococcaceae. The record is from RNAcentral.